This 29-nucleotide non-coding RNA is filed under the name Homo sapiens (human). The record is from RNAcentral. Lineage: Eukaryota; Metazoa; Chordata; Mammalia; Primates; Hominidae.
UUGGUUGCUCAUGCUUUUGGUGUUGCAUC